Molecule: ribosomal RNA, 466 nt
Filed under: uncultured bacterium
Lineage: Bacteria
Description: partial 16S ribosomal RNA
Rfam family: Bacterial small subunit ribosomal RNA
Source: RNAcentral
ACGAACGCUGGCGGCGUGCUUAACACAUGCACGUCGAACGGAAAGGCCCUGCUUUUGUGGGGUGCUCGAGUGGCGAACGGGUGAGUAACACGUGAGUAACCUGCCCUUGACUUUGGGAUAACUUCAGGAAACUGGGGCUAAUACCGGAUAGGAGCUCCUGCUGCAUGGUGGGGGUUGGAAAGUUUCGGCGGUUGGGGAUGGACUCGCGGCUUAUCAGCUUGUUGGUGGGGUAGUGGCUUACCAAGGCUUUGACGGGUAGCCGGCCUGAGAGGGUGACCGGCCACAUUGGGACUGAGAUACGGCCCAGACUCCUACGGGAGGCAGCAGUGGGGAAUAUUGCACAAUGGCGGAAGCCUGAUGCAGCAACGCCGCGUGCGGGAUGAUGGCCUUCGGGUUGUAAACCGCUUUCGCCUGUGACGAAGCGUGAGUGACGGUAAUGGGUAAAGAAGCACCGGCUAACUACGUG